ACACAUGCAAGUCGAGGGGCAGCGCGGGAUAGCAAUAUCCUGGCGGCGACCGGCGGAAGGGUGCGUAACGCGUGAGCGACAUGCCCGUUGCCCGGGGACAACCGGUGGAAACGCCGACUAAUCCCCGAUGGGAUACGAUGCUUCAUGGCAUUGUAUUGAAAGUUACGGCGGCGACGGAUUGGCUCGCGUCCGAUUAGCUUGUUGGCGGGGUAACGGCCCACCAAGGCUACGAUCGGUAGGGGUUCUGAGAGGAAGGCCCCCCACAAUGGGACUGAGACACGGCCCAUACUCCUACGGGAGGCAGCAGUGAGGAAUAUUGGUCAAUGGGCGGAAGCCUGAACCAGCCAUGCCGCGUGCGGGAAGGAGGCCCUAUGGGCUGUGAACCGCUUUUGCCUGGGGGCAAUAAGGGCGUCGCGCACGUCCGAUGAGAGUACCAGGCGAAUAAGCAUCGGCUAACUCCGUGCCAGCAGCCGCGGUAAUACGGGGGAUGCGAGCGUUAUCCGGAUUCAUUGGGUUUAAAGGGUGCGUAGGCUGUGCGUCAAGUCGGGGGUGAAAUUCCGGUGCUCAACACCAGGGCUGCCCUUGAUACUGUCGCGCUGGAGUGCGGAUGCCGCCGGAGGAAUGAGUGGUGUAGCGGUGAAAUGCUUAGAUAUCACUCAGAACACCGAUUGCGAAGGCAUCUGGCGAAUCCGUAACUGACGCUGAGGCACGAAAGCGUGGGGAUAGAACAGGAUUAGAUACCCUGGUAUUCCACGCCGUAAACGAUGAUGGCUAACCGCCGGCGACACACUGUCGGUGGCCAAGCGAAAGCGAUAAGCCAUCCACCUGGGGAGUACGUCGGCAACGAUGAAACUCAAAGGAAUUGACGGGGGCCC
This 875-nucleotide ribosomal RNA is filed under the name uncultured bacterium. RNAcentral's name for it is "bacterial SSU rRNA". It matches the Rfam family "Bacterial small subunit ribosomal RNA", at positions 51 to 922 of the family's 1533-position model. The record is from RNAcentral.